ACUACGGGUGGCAGCAGUGGGGAAUAUUGCACAAUGGGGGAAACCCUGAUGCAGCGACGCCGCGUGAGCGAAGAAGUAUCUCGGUAUGUAAAGCUCUAUCAGCAGGGAAGAAAAUGACGGUACCUGAGUAAGAAGCUCCGGCUAAAUAGGUGCCAGCAGCCGCGGUAAGACGUCGGGAGCCAGAGUUAUCCGGAUUUACUGGGCGUAAAGGGAGCGUAGGCGGCCGGCCAAGUCUGAUGUGAAAUACCGGGGCUCAACCCCGGAUCUGCAUUGGAAACUGGCAGGAUGGAGUGUAGGAGAGGGAGGCGGAAUUCAUGGUGUAGCGGUGAAAUGCGUAGAGAUUAGGAGGAACACCAGUGGCGAAGGCGGGUUGCUAGACUGCAACUGACACUGAGGCACGAAAGCGUGGGGAGCAAACAGGAUUAGAUACCCUAGUAGUC
Molecule: ribosomal RNA, 440 nt
Filed under: uncultured bacterium
Lineage: Bacteria
Description: partial 16S ribosomal RNA
Rfam family: Bacterial small subunit ribosomal RNA
Source: RNAcentral